UACGUAGGGUGCGAGCGUUAAUCGGAAUUACUGGGCCGUAAAGCGUGCGCAGGCGGUUCGUUGUGUCGGCGGUGAAAGCCCCGGGCUUAACCUGGGAAUGGCCGUCGAAACUGGCGAACUGGAGUGUGGCAGAGGGGGGUGGAAUUCCGCGUGUAGCAGUGAAAUGCGUAGAGAUCAGGAGGAAUACCGAUGGCGAAGGCAGGCUCUGGGCUGAUGACUGCGCUCAUGCACGAAGCGUGGGAGCGA
This 246-nucleotide ribosomal RNA is filed under the name uncultured bacterium. Its description in RNAcentral is "partial 16S ribosomal RNA". It matches the Rfam family "Bacterial small subunit ribosomal RNA", at positions 524 to 771 of the family's 1533-position model. The record is from RNAcentral.